AUUGAACGCUGGCGGCAUGCCUUACACAUGCAAGUCGAACGGCAGCGGGCCUUCGGGUGCCGGCGAGUGGCGAACGGGUGAGUAAUGCAUCGGAACGUGCCAUUGAGUGGGGGGAUAACGUAGCGAAAGUUACGCUAAUACCGCAUAUUCUGUGAGCAGGAAAGCAGGGGACCGCAAGGCCUUGCGCUCUUUGAGCGGCCGAUGUCAGAUUAGCUAGUUGGUGAGGUAAAGGCUUACCAAGGCGACGAUCUGUAGCGGGUCUGAGAGGAUGAUCCGCCACACUGGAACUGAGACACGGUCCAGACUCCUACGGGAGGCAGCAGUGGGGAAUUUUGGACAAUGGGGGCAACCCUGAUCCAGCCAUGCCGCGUGAGUGAAGAAGGCCUUCGGGUUGUAAGCUCUUUCGGCCGGGAAGAAUCGUAUGGGUUAAUACCCUGUGCGGAUGACGGUACCGGCAUAAGAAGCACCGGCUAACUACGUAGCCAGCACG
This 490-nucleotide ribosomal RNA is filed under the name uncultured bacterium. RNAcentral's name for it is "bacterial SSU rRNA". It matches the Rfam family "Bacterial small subunit ribosomal RNA", at positions 30 to 515 of the family's 1533-position model. The record is from RNAcentral.